GCCCGCAUAGCUCAGCUGGCAGAGCAUCUGAUUUGUAAUCAGACGGUCGGUGGUUCGAAUCCGCCUGCGGGCUCCA
This 76-nucleotide transfer RNA is filed under the name Gammaproteobacteria bacterium. RNAcentral's name for it is "tRNA-Thr". It matches the Rfam family "tRNA". Rfam says of the family: Transfer RNA (tRNA) molecules are approximately 80 nucleotides in length. The record is from RNAcentral. Lineage: Bacteria; Pseudomonadati; Pseudomonadota; Gammaproteobacteria. RNAcentral also lists the same sequence under 1 other name.